Molecule: ribosomal RNA, 229 nt
Filed under: uncultured bacterium
Lineage: Bacteria
Description: partial 16S ribosomal RNA
Rfam family: Bacterial small subunit ribosomal RNA
Source: RNAcentral
CGCGUAGGCGGUCUUGUCGGUCAGAUGUGAAAGCCCGGGGCUCAACCUUGGAAGUGCAUUUGAAACAGCAAGACUUGAAUACUGGAGAGGAGAGCGGAAUUCCUGGUGUAGAGGUGAAAUUCGUAGAUAUCAGGAGGAACACCGAUGGCGAAGGCAGCUCUCUGGACAGAUAUUGACGCUGAGGCGCGAAGGUGUGGGUAGCGAACAGGAUUAGAUACCCUGGUAGUCC